This 381-nucleotide ribosomal RNA is filed under the name Triticum aestivum (bread wheat). Its description in RNAcentral is "partial small subunit ribosomal RNA". The record is from RNAcentral. Lineage: Eukaryota; Viridiplantae; Streptophyta; Magnoliopsida; Poales; Poaceae.
AUGCAGACACUUGGUUUUGUCCCUUCUAAGUCUGACAUCUCAUUGUUUAUUUAUAACAAGUCAAAUACAUCCAUAUUUGUUCUCAUAUAUGUUGACGAUAUCAUUGUUACAAGUUCAUCUGAUGAGGCAAUAGCAGGACUUCUGAAGGAUUUAAGUACAGAUUUUGCUCUCAAGGACCUUGGCAAUCUCCACUAUUUCCAAGGGAUUGAAGUGAAGAAACAUGAUGAUGGAAUCCAUCUCUCCCAGGAAAAAUAUGCCACUGACUUGGUAAAAAAGGCUGGCUUGCAAGGUUGUAAACCCUCACCUACUCCAUUAUCUAGUUCAGAAAAACUGUCUCUUACAGAAGGAACACCUUUGAGUAAAGAAGACAACACAGAAUAU